CCUACGGGUGGCAGCAGUGGGGAAUAUUGCACAAUGGGGGAAACCCUGAUGCAGCGACGCCGCGUGAGUGAAGAAGUAAUUCGGUAUGUAAAGCUCUAUCAGCAGGGAAGAAAAUGACGGUACCUGAGUAAGAAGCCCCGGCUAACUACGUGCCAGCAGCCGCGGUAAUACGUAGGGGGCAAGCGUUAUCCGGAUUUACUGGGUGUAAAGGGAGCGUAGACGGCAGUGCAAGUCUGGAGUGAAAGGCGGGGGCUCAACCCCCGGACUGCUCUGGAAACUGUACGGCUGGAGUGCAGGAGGGGCAAGUGGAAUUCCUAGUGUAGCGGUGAAAUGCGUAGAUAUUAGGAGGAACACCAGUGGCGAAGGCGGCUUACUGGACUGUAACUGACGUUGAGGCUCGAAAGCGUGGGGAGCAAACAGGAUUAGAUACCCGUGUAGUC
RNAcentral lists this ribosomal RNA (440 nucleotides) under uncultured bacterium. RNAcentral's name for it is "partial 16S ribosomal RNA". It matches the Rfam family "Bacterial small subunit ribosomal RNA", at positions 338 to 795 of the family's 1533-position model. The record is from RNAcentral.